UUCCGGUUGAUCCCGCCAGAGGUUACUGCCAUCGAGGUUCGACUAAGCCAUGCGAGUCGAAUGUAGCAAUACAUGGCGUACUGCUCAGUAACACGUGGACAACCUACCCUUAGGAUGGGGAUAAACCCGGGAAACUGGGUAUAAUACCCAAUAGAUCUGGUCUGCUGGAAUGCUUCCAGAUUUAAAACUCCGGUGCCUAAGGAUGGGUCUGCGGCCUAUCAGGUUGUAGUGGGUGUAGUGUACCUACUAGCCUACGACGGGUACGGGUUGUGAGAGCAAGAGCCCGGAGAUGGAUUCUGAGACACGAAUCCAGGCCCUACGGGGUGCAGCAGGCGCGAAAACUUUACAAUGCCGGCAACGGCGAUAAGGGGACCUCGAGUGCCAGGUUACAAAUCUGGCUGUCGCGAUGCCUAAAAAGCAUUGCAUAGCAAGGGCCGGGCAAGACCGGUGCCAGCCGCCGCGGUAACACCGGCGGCUCGAGUGGUAACCGUUAUUAUUGGGUCUAAAGGGUCUGUAGCCGGCCGGGUAAGUCUCUUGGGAAAUCCAGCAGCUCAACUGUUGGGCUUUCAGGAGAUACUGCCUGGCUCGAGGCCGGGAGAGGUGAGAGGUACUUCAGGGGUAGGGGUGAAAUCUCGUAAUCCUUGAAGGACCACCAGUGGCGAAGGCGUCUCACCAGAACGGACCUGACGGCAAGGAACGAAAGCUAGGGGCACGAACCGGAUUAGAUACCCGGGUAGUCCUAGCCGUAAACGAUACUCGCUAGGUGUCGGCCACGGUGCGACCGUGGUCGGUGCCGUAGGGAAGCCGUGAAGCGAGCCACCUGGGAAGUACGGCCGCAAGGCUGAAACUGAAAGGAAUUGGCGGGA
RNAcentral lists this ribosomal RNA (866 nucleotides) under uncultured Methanosaeta sp. Its description in RNAcentral is "bacterial SSU rRNA". It matches the Rfam family "Archaeal small subunit ribosomal RNA", at positions 1 to 873 of the family's 1478-position model. The record is from RNAcentral. Lineage: Archaea; Methanobacteriati; Methanobacteriota; Methanomicrobia; Methanotrichales; Methanotrichaceae.